UGAGGAAUAUUGGUCAAUGGGCGGGAGCCUGAACCAGCCAAGCCGCGUGAGGGAAUAAGGCGCCAAGCGUCGUAAACCUCUUUUGUCAGGGAACAAAAGCGGGCACGCGUGCCCGUCCGAGUGUACCUGAAGAAAAGCAUCGGCUAACUCCGUGCC
This 156-nucleotide ribosomal RNA is filed under the name uncultured bacterium. RNAcentral's name for it is "partial 16S ribosomal RNA". It matches the Rfam family "Bacterial small subunit ribosomal RNA", at positions 355 to 509 of the family's 1533-position model. The record is from RNAcentral.